AUAUCACGGCUGACAGAUUGGAGAGAGACGAUGACUCCCAUUUUUGACUCGGAGACAGCUGGGUGUCGCUGUGUCGAGCAGAGAGAGGGGGACAGAGCGACUACAGAGCAGGGAGACACAGGGCCUGCAUUUCAGCUUUGACUUUGGGAGAGAGAGGGGAAGGGGAGAUCAUGGCUGACGAAUUUGAGAGAGAUAAUGGCCCCCUUUUUUUACUCGGAGACAGCUGGGUGUCGCUGUGGCGAGCGGAGAGAGGGGGACAGAGAGACUACAGAAGAGGGAGACACAGGGCCUGACAGAUUGGAGACGGAUGGGAGCUACGGAUUUGGACUGAGUGAGAGAAAGAUUUUGCUAGCUCCUCUGCCAGGAUCUAUGGGAUUUUCUCCCAUUUUAGAGAGAGAGAUGGACAUGGAGAGAGAUACAGAGCGGAAAGCAUGGGUGUGUGUAUUCUUUAGGGUUGACAGGUUACGAACAGAGUCGGUGAUGAGGGGAUGCCUCAGGGACGAAUGGCAGGGUCUGGCCUUCAUUUCUGUAGCUCGAGAGCUUCGGUGAGAUGAAGGAAAGGAGCAGGGAGAUGGGCUCGAGUCGGCGAACGGCCGAAAAGAUCUUCAGGGAUUACAGUGAUCGGAGAACCGACGCCGUCCACGAUUUAACUAACGAGAGAGAGGUCGAGCAAGGUUUCGUCGAUUUCGGUCAACUUGGGCUACCCCCAACGUUUGGUAAGAUCCCUCGCCGAUCUCUUCUCUCGCCUAUGUCGUCUUACUCCACCGUUCACGUCAGGAAGGCCCGUGCGUGGUUUUUUGGGUGGGGAUUUCAGAUUUCAAGGGGGAGAGAGGCUGUGCUUCGUUUCAAUUGGGCCAAGCCUCUAUCUGCAAAUCGAGUCCCCGGUGAAGCAUAAGCAUUACAGGCCUGCAGUAAAUUCUAGGGAAAGAAGAAGGAAGGAAAUGCCGCGAGGUACGUCACCAGAUCACAAGCUGUCAAGCAGCUUCAAGUCAGUCUUCCCCUCUUCAGAAAAUUGUGUAUUCUAAAGGGCGUGUUCCCUUGGGAGCUGAAGAAAAAGGUGAAAGGAAAUCACCAUACCUAUUAUUACUUGAAUGAUGUUUCUUUAAUUCAGCAUGAACCGCUACUCGAGUAGUUGAGAGAGAUAAAAGCAUACGAAAGAAAAGUAAAGAGAGCCGAUGCGAAGAAGAACAAGGAACGAGCUGCUCUCCUAAAAGAAAGAAGACCCACUUACAAAUUAGAUAGAAUUAUUUUGCAGAGAUAUCCAAAAUUCGUUGAUGCACUUAGAGAUAUAGACGACUGCCUCAGCUAUUGAGGACAGAAUUGAUGUCAAACGCAUUCAUAACUGUCGAAAGGUUGAGUCAUGAAUGACAAGCUUACAUAUCUUGGACUCAUAAAUUGCGUAAAGUCUUUGUAUCUGUUAAAGGCAUAUAUUAUCAGUUUGAGUCUACUGAGUUCUGCGGAUUCACUCAA
Molecule: long non-coding RNA, 1470 nt
Organism: Pyrus x bretschneideri (Chinese white pear)
Lineage: Eukaryota; Viridiplantae; Streptophyta; Magnoliopsida; Rosales; Rosaceae
Exons: 8
Source: RefSeq, a predicted model, not a curated record